GGGGGCUUGGUUGUUUUUCCGUCAGUGGCCAGUCUGGGCUCCCUGAGCCAGAAGGCUGGCUGUGCGCGCUCUGUCCGUUAACUUCUUUCUUCUCUGGAAAUUGCCCACAAGAACAAUGAGGUCAAGGGAAGAGCAGCGUGAGAAAGCCAUUCCCUGUAGAGUCCAUGCAGCAGAUGUUCCCACUGUGGAAGCCCGACUUACAUGCACUUUCUGGAAAGACUGUGGCUCUCAUUAGAGGCCUGGUAGCUCUUCACCCCUCUCCUCUUCACAAGUCUGACAGCCUGUGCUGCCUGGGAAAAGGACCGGCCUUGACAGGAGCUCUGGUCUGGUUUACCAUGUGUGUCCUCAGCUUGUCUCUCUCACUGUCCUUUCUUGAUUCUUAAACCUCUUUCCUUUGGCAGGAUCGCUGCAGAGCAGAGCAGUAGAUUGGCAAAAUAUAGGACACUACGGUAAAGAUGAAGGGUGACUCCUCCCAGAGGCAGGCUCCCUCUCCCAUCUUGCCCACUUCAUGCAUGCCAAUUACUGUCCCAUUU
This 533-nucleotide long non-coding RNA is filed under the name Rattus norvegicus (Norway rat). RNAcentral describes it as "long non-coding RNA NONRATT019860". Lineage: Eukaryota; Metazoa; Chordata; Mammalia; Rodentia; Muridae. The record is from RNAcentral.